This is a long non-coding RNA of Rhododendron vialii, 3746 nucleotides long. RefSeq lists it as uncharacterized. The record is from RefSeq and is a predicted model, not a curated record. Lineage: Eukaryota; Viridiplantae; Streptophyta; Magnoliopsida; Ericales; Ericaceae. The transcript has 9 exons.
GGGUUUGGGUAGAUGGGAUCUUCUGUUUUUUUUUUUUUUUUCCUUUCAAAUCAAGUAACGGAAAAUUGUUUCUUCUUCGUCUUCCCUCCCAGCCCCCCGCCCCCCCUUCCUUUUUCCAUAGGUUCCAAACGCGGUGGAUGGCGGCGGUUUUGGAUUUCCGGCGAGGGGAGUUGGUGCACUGGGUGGUGCUCCUCCUUGUUUUCUUCUCACAGAAUGGGCCAGGGUUUCCUCUUUGAUCGGUUGAUCCUCUCGCUCUCUCUCUCUCUCUGAGAUGUUAAUUUCAAGGGGAAUUUCUCGCAUUACGAGAUCAGCGGGCUUGAACCCUAGUCACCGGGUCUUCUCAUCUCGAAGCAGCAAGCAUCACCAACUGGUCCCAUCUGUUCUAUUUACGCUCUCCGCUAGACUCUACUGAUAAGGAUCAAUUGGACCCAUUUUUGCUUGUUGAAGAUGAACCAUCUAUCCUUCCAAAUAGGUUGCGCGCAAUGGUAGUUGCCGAGGUCCCAAAGCUUGCCUUAGCUGCCGAGCACUUCUUCAAAAUGGGGGUGGAAGGAAAGCGAUUUCGACCAACGGGAAGAUUGAUGGAUACUUUUCAGCAGUAUCUGCUGUGUCCAAAAUCGAGAAUUUCUUAAAUAAUUGAUAGAUACUUUCAGCCGUGUCUCAUACUUGUCCCGCCUUAUGGGGGCUUUUGGCUUCAUUGCCACCCACAUACAUCAUAGAUCUUUGGGUGGCUUUGGUAGCCUGUCCUUUCUUUGGGGGCAACAAGGAAUGUUGCAGCCAUAAGGUUAAUAAGACCUUUAUGUGGCAAUGAUAUAGUCGUCAGUUAACUGUCCAUGAAGUUGAUAGUAUCAUUUUCAUGUCUAAACUAAUAGGUUCACUUAGUUUUCUUGAAGUGCAACUUCCAAGUUCUUUGCUUUCAAUAAUUCCUCUUAUCUGUCAAAAAGAUUGCCCAAACGAUAUUAAGCAUGUAUAUCUUUGAUUUGUUAAGACUUAAAGAGUCUUAUUGCAAAGGUCCAGGGACCACACGUUUCCCUGGAUCAUGAUAGCAUACUUCUACGCUAUCAACCAUUUAGCAACUUGUAGAUCCAUCGGACUCAUUUUACCGGUUAAUAGAUUCAGCCUGAAAGUUCUCGUUAUUUUUUAAUCAGAAGAUAUUUGUCUGAGACUGUCAGUACACUUUAUGUACUCUGCUCUACCUGCCAUGAUCUCAUAAUUACUCUGUACUCUGUAUUACAGACCUAUUGUCUGCGCAGGUUUUAUUAUUGAUGGGAACAGCUUUGAAUGUACAUAUACCUGGGCCUCCUGAUGAUGUGGUGGUUGAUGCUUUAUCAGAAGAAAUCCGUCUAAGAUAACAGCGUAUAGCUGAAAUCACAGAAAUGAUCCAUAUACAAGACGUGGCAUUGGUUCAUUAAACUUUGUGAUGGGGAAUAAGUUAGCUGUAUUGGCUGGCGUCCAAUCACUCGGAUCCCCUCGGCGUUUCGACUGUCCAAGACCAAGGGCAGCCUUGAUUUACCUGACUAUUGUGAUAUGUGGAAUUGUAACAGCUCCUAUAUUGUUUGCCAUGGAGUAGUUCCCGCAAUUGCGAGCAGUUGUUAAUCGGGGAUUUGAAGACCCUGCAGAUGUGGAUCUUGCUCUUGAUUACCUCGGAAAGAGCCAGGGGAUACAGAGAACGCGAGAGCUAGUGGCAAAGCACGCCACCCUUGCCGCCGCCAUAGUUGAUUCUCUUCCGGAGAGUGACGAUGAGGAUGUGCGAAGAUCAAGGCGGGCCCUAGUGGAUCUAACUCAAAGAGUCAUUACCAGAACAAAGUACAUCCCAAAGUGAUUUCAUUAAUCGCAAUUUUUGCUUCCCGUCAUAUAUUUCCAUCAGUUAUACAGUCAGGGCGGAGUAUUCCCUUGUUUGUUUUCCAUAUUUCAUGAAGAGAAAAUUGAGAAUUUGUUGUUGUUAUGUUACAGCUAGCAAUGGAAAGUAAGAUUUUUUUUUUUUGGGCAAUCCAGUGAUAGUGUUGGUGAAUUACUGGUGUCAUGUGACUCAUGUUAUAAUACUUUCUAAACAUCUCAUAUUCACAUCUCCUAAUUCUAUAUUUAUGCUCCUUUUGGCAUUCCCAAUCUUACAAUGUUCUAUUUGCCUUGCUCCCGCUCUUCCUUCCGCUCCCGCACCCCUGCUUCGUGCAACUACUGUACAGUGUGAGUAUCCAAUAGAAAAGAUGACGUCAAAAUUAUAAGGCUGAAAUUGUAGAAGUUGCACGGAUUUUUCCUGCCUGAAGGAAAAAAAGAGGAGCUAGUCUUGGCGAAUACAUUAUUUUGCUCAGACAAGCUAGAAAAGAAUAAAGCUGCCAUCAAAAUUUUCACGUCAAGUCAUACCAUUAAUGUCUCAAUAGGAAAUUAUUCCAUCAGCAUCGGAGCAGCCUAAGUGCAGACAAGUUUGGACAGCUCAGCUCUCAUCUAAGGUAUCUUCUUUAUAGAGAAAUGUAGAAAGUUUAGCAAAAUAUUGAUCAUGACAAGUUUCGUCACCUUCUGUCCAGUUAAUUUAUGUUCCAUUUGACAUUCUACUGUUCAAAUUCUAUGAGAUGGAGAGUAUGUAUCAAGACGAUCUCUGCUUAUAUGCAUCCGCUGAAAUUAUGUCAUAGAAAACUAAAUGUGGAUAUUGAGAGGCUAACAAAACAGUAUUUUAAGUUCAAUGAGUUUCAUUGGAUGGACAUUGGACCAUAAGGAAGAUGUCUUCCUCUGCAUGAUCUUUGAUGAAAAUGGAGAAGUCACACAAGAUUGGCAUUACAACUUGACCAUUAUUUUCAGACUCGUAACAAAAAGGCCACUUGAACUUUGAUUUCACAUUGACAAGAAAGGUCCUUAUCUUCUCUAGAGGUCGACAAUUUCUGUGAAGGAGCCAUUAUUGUACUUGUGGAUUCAGCCUUUUUUCAUUAUUAUCCGAGAUGUUAAUGUCAAACACCAUGAAAGACGAACAAACUCAGGAUAAUGUGCAAACCUUGGACAAAAGAAGUCUUUUCAUCAUAGACAAACUCUGUUUGGCUUCUGGAUGUAUGUGCAGAGGAGCAACUUACUCGGACAUAUUCAUCUUUUAGAGUAACCAAACCAAAAAAAAUAGGUUCUUUGGAAAAUACCUAUUAAUUUACACAAGUCCCCUAAACAAGAAGUUUUGGGAUCAUAGUUGUCUUCUUUCUAGCUGACGUCUUAAUUUUAUAGCCAAUAAAUGCUUUGUUUCGGCUACCUUUUUCAAAUAUGAUCUUCUUGGAAUAGCAAGUCUACCAACACAACAAUGUGCACAACAAUUUACACAAGAAGUGGAUGUGGCUAUGAUUGGUGAUUUGUAAGUGGUUAUCUGCCCAGUUGCCAAUCAUGCAAGGCAACAUCAGCAUAUUGUACAAAUUAUUGUACACAUUGUUGUGUUAGUAAACUCUCUUCUUGCAAAGUUUUGUUUGUUCAAGAUUCAGUGUUUGAUGUGGUUUAGUCUAGCAUACUUCCUAGAUCCAAAAUUGGGCCUAAAUUAAGCUAUUUGCGGCAAUGCUCUAUUCUUAGGUAGGGAUUAGCUGAAAUUAGCAGUUUCCUUAAGAAUUCAAGGUUUUUGUUGUUUAUUUUAAUGAUAGAUAUGGUUGUAAGCCUUAUAAAGAUAAGUGAAUUUGCGGAGUUUUUUUCUCUAUUUCAGGUGUUCUAUAGUAUGCUUAUUCUUAAAAUUUGACUAUGUCUUACACGAUUUCAUGUCAAUCUUGCGAGCAAAAUCUGCUUCUGCAGUC